CCUAAGGGAGGCAGCAGUGAGGAAUAUUGGUCAAUGGACGAGAGUCUGAACCAGCCAAGUAGCGUGAAGGAUGACGGCCCUAUGGGUUGUAAACUUCUUUUAUAGGGGAAUAAAAUGUGACACGUGUGGGAGGUUGAAUGUACCAUAUGAAUAAGGAUCGGCUAACUCCGUGCCAGCAGCCGCGGUAAUACGGAGGAUCCGAGCGUUAUCCGGAUUUAUUGGGUUUAAAGGGCGCGUAGGUGGCUUGUUAAGUCAGUGGUGCAAGUUUGCGGCUCAACCGUAAAAUUGCAGUUGAAACUGGCAGUCUUUCGUUCAGUUGCGGUGGGCGGAAUUCGUUGUGUAGCCGU
RNAcentral lists this ribosomal RNA (347 nucleotides) under uncultured bacterium. Its description in RNAcentral is "partial 16S ribosomal RNA". It matches the Rfam family "Bacterial small subunit ribosomal RNA", at positions 338 to 682 of the family's 1533-position model. The record is from RNAcentral.